RNAcentral lists this ribosomal RNA (428 nucleotides) under uncultured bacterium. Its description in RNAcentral is "bacterial SSU rRNA". It matches the Rfam family "Bacterial small subunit ribosomal RNA", at positions 917 to 1341 of the family's 1533-position model. The record is from RNAcentral.
GGGCUCACACAAGCGGUGGAGGAUGUGGCUUAAUUCGAGGCUACGCGAAGAACCUUAUCCUGGUCUUGACAUGCUUGGGAACCCUCCUGAAAGGGAGGGGUGCCUUUCGGGGAGCCCUUGCACAGGUGCUGCAUGGCUGUCGUCAGCUCGUGUCGUGAGAUGUCGGGUUAAGUCCCUUAACGAGCGAAACCCUUGUCCUUAGUUGCCAGCGGUUCGGCCGGGGACUCUAAGGAGACUGCCGGUGUUAAACCGGAGGAAGGUGGGGAUGACGUCAAGUCCUCAUGGCCUUUAUGACCAGGGCUGCACACGUCCUACAAUGGCACGUACAAAGAGAAGCAAGACCGUAAGGUGGAGCAAAUCCCAAAAAGCGUGCCCCAGUUCGGAUUGCAGGCUGCAACUCGCCUGCAUGAAGCCGGAAUCGCUAGUAA